RNAcentral lists this ribosomal RNA (493 nucleotides) under uncultured bacterium. RNAcentral describes it as "partial 16S ribosomal RNA". It matches the Rfam family "Bacterial small subunit ribosomal RNA", at positions 28 to 506 of the family's 1533-position model. The record is from RNAcentral.
GACGAACGCUGGCGGCGUGCUUAACACAUGCAAGUCGAACGGAAAGGCCUGCUUUCCCUUGUGGAUUGCGGGUGCUCGAGUGGCGAACGGGUGAGUAACACGUGAGUGAUCUGCCCCCAACUUGGGUAUAAGCCUGGGAAACUGGGUCUAAUUCCCGAUAGGACUGCAGGGUGGUGCCCGUGGUGGAAAACGAUUUUCUAGUGGUUGGGGAUGAGCUCGCGGCCUAUCAGCUUGUUGGUGGGGUAAUGGCCUACCAAGGCGGCGACGGGUAGCCGGCCUGAGAGGGUGGACGGCCACAUUGGGACUGAGAUACGGCCCAGACUCCUACGGGAGGCAGCAGUGGGGAAGAUUGCACAAUGGGCGGAAGCCUGAUGCAGCGACGCCGCGUGGGGGAUGACGGCCUUCGGGUUGUAAACUCCUUUCGACCGCGAGGAAGCCACCUGGUUGGAAGGGUGGUGACGGUAGUGGUAGAAGAAGCACCGGCUAACUACGU